Molecule: long non-coding RNA, 2730 nt
Organism: Dromiciops gliroides (monito del monte)
Lineage: Eukaryota; Metazoa; Chordata; Mammalia; Microbiotheria; Microbiotheriidae
Exons: 4
Source: RefSeq, a predicted model, not a curated record
AAUCCCCGGGGCUGGUUUUGCUCUGGAAAUAGUCUCUCUGCUGGGAGUUCACAGGGGUGGGAAUCUGUUGCUGACCUGCUUGGGUGGGGCUUCACUACUGGUCAGCAGGCCUCUGCUAUGAGCCCAGAAGCAGUUUCUGUUGCUACUGCUCCUGGACCUCACUUUCCUCCCAUCCAGCAACAUCUCCUGACUCCAUGUUCUCUCUGGCUGUCCCUGAAGUUCCACCUAAAAUCCCUCCUUUUACAGUUGGCACAGUGCUUGGCACAGAGGAGCCACUGUCUAAAUACUCAUUGACUUGACAUAAGAAAUGACAAAUGAGAGGGAUUCAGAGAGACCAGGGAAGACUGGGGUGGCCUGAGGCAGAAGGAAAUGAGCAGAACCAGGAGGACAAUGUUUGCUCUGCUGACAGCCCUGCAGAGGACAAUGUACAUGUAACAGGAUAAAGCUUCCUGGGCUCUGCUAGAUUCCACCUUUGCUGAUGCUGGUCAGGUCUGUGGAUGGGCUGCACUCACCUGGGAUGAACAUGUGUCAUGAUCCUCAUUGAGAAGAAGGACAAACAACAAACAGACAACAACAGAGUGGGAAGAUGAGGCCCCAUGGAAAGGACAACCAUCAGAAGCAGGAUGUGGAGAGGGGCCCUUGUUCUGACCUACCUGGCACCUGCUUGUGCAGAGCUGGCUCCCAGAAGACAGAGAGAUCUCAGGUCCAGGGAAGGCAGAGAGAUCUCCCCUCUGAGGGAAGAAGACACCUCAGCUUGAAAUGAAGGCAGAGAGAUCUCAGAUCUAAGGGCUUCUGCCUCCAGCCAUGCUGCUCUGGAUGUUCUCUCACAGGAAGACAACUGGAUCCUAAGGGAGAGCUGAGGCCAGGACACCUGGGUCCCAGGGCAUAAUGACCUUUCUCUGUGGCUGUUUCCUGAUUCAACCACUGGAAUCCCUCCCCUGGGAGGUCUCACUAAUUCCCUCUUCACCCCUCAAAACCCAGGUUCUCGGGGAAGUGGAGAGGGGCAGAAAGCAGGACAGGCUGAUCGUGGGGCACAAGAAUGCCAGGAAGCCAGGAUGGAGGCCACUGAGGGACAGAAAGUGGGAUUCCUGGGCUGGGGAGCUCAAAACCCCAGCACAGAAUCCUUAAUGAUCCCUCUGGCAUUUUUUUGAACAAAAGUAAAGACAGUCCCCACCCUCCUGGGCCUCACCUAGCAAGGGGAAUGGUGGGUAGGGAGGGGCUCAAUCCUUGAAAAAGUUACUGGGCUGAGGAAUGGGGCCUUAGAGUGUAGAUUAACAUUCAGGUACAGGAGGGGAGGGGGAAGAUCCCCUUGGUUCUUGUGACCUCAACUGGACAGGAAAGGGGUGAAAAUAAAGCCAAAUGAAGGAGAAUGCACACAUACACAGAUCCACUUCCAUAUCUGCUUGGCUUGGGGGUAAAGCCUACUGCUCAGCUGAGAAUGAACUGAGAGCUUCUCAAGGGAACUCCAGGACUCUAAGAGGGAUGGCAUUCUGAGGAUGGGCACAGCAGCAGAAAGACAAGGCCUGGGGAAGGAGGAUCUCAAGGAGGAGAAGCCAAAAGGCCAGUUUGGCAGCUCAGGGCUGGGUGAAGAGGACUGUGUGUGACCCCCUGGGAUGGCAGCUGGGCCAGGUUGUGAAGAGCUUUCAAAUAGCAAACAGAUAUGCUCAUUGAUACUAUCGGGGACCACUGGAAUUUCCUGAGUGGAAGGGAUAUGUGUAGGACUGAACUUUAGUCCUGUAGGGUUCCAUCACCUUCUGCCCAAGCUGUUUAGUUCCUGGAUAGGGCCUAGGAGUAGAAGUGGCUCCUAUGGGGAGGUUUAUUUACUUGGCCCCAGAAAAGAGAAUUUUUCCUGCAGCCAGUAACCCAAGGUGGUUCAGGAAAAUAGUGGAGGGGAGGGGCACAGAGAGGACUUGGAGGAAAAAUGAAAGGGACAAAUAGACAAUGAAACUGUAUUACUUGGAAACAACGGGAGGCCACUAUCAGACACAAAUUAAAAGGAUAAACAAGAAAAAAGAUUUAGCAGCUAAUUGGCUAUAGGGAGUUGGGGCCAAGACAGAGGGAAGAGUCAGGGAUGGCGUGUAGGUUGCUAAUGUGGAGGAAAUCAACUGAAUUUGGGGGAAGCAGCUCCCCCAAAAGAAUUACCAUGGAUGUCAAAGAAACUCAACUGCCUUACAGGACUAUGUAAACAGAGACAGACUUCAGGGAAGCCUCCAAUAACUGGGGAGUCACCAAUAAGAUAUUCUAAAGGAAUUAACUAGAGACCCACCUCCUGUGGCCCCACCAGAUAUUCUGGGCAUGAGAAAACAUCCCCAUUGAAACAACCUCUGCAACUCCUGAGAGGAAGGUUAACAUUCUCCCCAAAUCACCCGACAUCCUGCCUCUAUACCCAACCAGCCCAAUGAGCAAAGUGGCUGCCCAGCCUCCCCAGAUAGACUAAGGCUGUGUAAAAUCCUAUUUAUGCCUCUACUUCUCCUUAUUCCAUUGAGAUGCUCCCCACAGGGCAACUGCCAGGGUGCUGAUGCUACUUUAUCUUCAGGGAGGGAUUCCAGAGCUGGAUGGACCUGGAGGCAGGAAGAACUGAGUUCAAAUUUGACCUCAGACACUUUCUCUGUGUGAUACUGGGCAAGUCACUUGACCUGCUUGCCUCACUUUCCUCAAGUAUAAAAUGAGAAUAAUGGCAUCUACCCCAAAGGCUGCUGUGAGGAUUCUAUUUCUCAAGUUCUUGGCAGU